RNAcentral lists this long non-coding RNA (1508 nucleotides) under Selaginella moellendorffii. Its description in RNAcentral is "long non-coding RNA (SMOE_LNC001741)". The record is from RNAcentral. Lineage: Eukaryota; Viridiplantae; Streptophyta; Lycopodiopsida; Selaginellales; Selaginellaceae.
UUUCUUUCUCUUUUCUGUUUUGUUUUCUUUUCUCUUUCUUUCUUUUCUGUUUUGUUUCACUUUCCUCUUCCUUUCCAGGACAAGGCUAUUUCAGGCAGCAAGAUUCAACUUGGACUUUGGUUGCAAAGUGGUAACAAUAUCAAUCAUGUGGGAGCUCAUUGCAUUUACUGGCUCUAGAUUCAUCAGUUAUCAGGUUCUUUUCAUUCACUUCAUUCUGCACAUGUCCCACUCCAUUCUCAUCAACUCACAGUCCCAAACUUAUCAAUCACUUUGUACAACAUUGUCCUUUAAGUGCUACACAUGCCUGCACCAAUAUUAUUCCAUUUUUCCUGGGCUUGUAUUCCAUCAAAAUGUGCUCAAUUGCAUGCUUCCCACACAGCUUGGACCCCCGUCACUCACCAGACUGCCCAUCUAGUGUGGCCUAGAGCCUGCCACACAGGGACCUCUAUCUCUGCCCUUGUCUUGUCCCAGCACACUUGAAUCCCCCAGCCAGGUGGGGCCCCUAGCCCCCUUGAAGCAAUGUAGGACAUUUCCACACUGAGCCUUGAAGUCUUGUGAGAUCCCAAGUUCCUUUACUGCUGUAAAGAUUUGCUACCACACCUCCCUAGCCAUGUUGCACUCCCACAACACAUGAUUAACUAUUUCCACCUCACCACAUUCUUUACACCUCUGUUUUGCCUCCUCUCAAAACCACUGGCCAACUAGGAGACCAUUGUUGGCCACCAACCAAGAUGUAACUUUGGCCUUCUCCUGGAUCAGGAGCUUUCAGAAGUCUAACAUGUUUCCCACCACCUGUUUUGCAUCCACACCUUGCACGAUCCUACCACAGCUUUGGAAUUUCCUCUCUUGCCUCCUCCUGAGACGUCAGCAGCCCAUUCUGUGCCUCUUUGACUGCAUAUGAGAAAAAUCCAUUUGCUCCUCGCUGCCAUGCUGUGGGAUCCCAAUCCAGAUCCUCAAGUAACUGCUGCCACCACCAUACCAGCAAUCCAUCCCCUUCUAAGAGGGCUUCUGAUUCUACCACAUCAAGCCGUUUGGGAGUCUAGUGCAAAACCUGUAUCCACCCUCUGAACUCGUCAUCCGAUACCUAUGGCAUUACCUAUGUUUCUCCCACAGGGAGAAGCAUAUCUCCUCUCAUGACUCUAAAGGGUUGCCCUAUGUUAUCCAUUAGUGAAAUCACAAACCAUACCUCCACAUCCUCAUUCAACCAGGCAAGAGUGGGGGCCAUGAAGGCUUGGGAUGAACCCAGCGGGAACCGCUUCACGCCCUGUUCCUCUCACUCUGAGUCCCUCUGCACCGUGAUGAAGUCUCCUGUUCUGAGGUGAUGUCUCGGCCACUCGCCCCUUUCCUUUGUUGUGUUUGCUGCACGCAAGAGUUGUAGAAUAUUCAGCCGGAGGUUCUGUCUUUGCCAUGGGCCAAAACCCUAUAGCUGUCUCACCAUUGUCCUAGUGUCCUUGUCCAAAAGCCAUUGGAGUGGAGUUUCCUCCAGAUGGUAUAGUGUGGCUCCCUAC